This 101-nucleotide non-coding RNA is filed under the name Pseudoalteromonas phenolica. RNAcentral describes it as "TPP sequence". It matches the Rfam family "TPP riboswitch aptamer (THI element)". From Rfam's summary of the family: Vitamin B(1) in its active form thiamin pyrophosphate (TPP) is an essential coenzyme that is synthesised by coupling of pyrimidine and thiazole moieties in bacteria. The previously detected thiamin-regulatory element, thi box was extended, resulting in a new, highly conserved RNA secondary structure, the THI element, which is widely distributed in eubacteria and also occurs in some archaea. Analysis of operon structures identified a large number of new candidate thiamin-regulated genes, mostly transporters, in various prokaryotic organisms. Lineage: Bacteria; Pseudomonadati; Pseudomonadota; Gammaproteobacteria; Alteromonadales; Pseudoalteromonadaceae. The record is from Rfam by way of RNAcentral.
CGUUACUUGUCGGAGUGCCUUCGGGCUGAGAUCGCAUUAUUUGCGGGAUCCGUGAACCUGAUCAGGUUAAAACCUGCGUAGGGAACAAGCUGCCUUGCAAG